CGGGGAAACGGAGUUAUCUGAACCUUCGGGGAACGAUAACGGCGUCGAGCGGCGGACGGGUGAGUAAUGCCUAGGAAAUUGCCCUGAUGUGGGGGAUAACCAUUGGAAACGAUGGCUAAUACCGCAUAAUGCCUACGGGCCAAAGAGGGGGACCUUCGGGCCUCUCGCGUCAGGAUAUGCCUAGGUGGGAUUAGCUAGUUGGUGAGGUAAUGGCUCACCAAGGCGACGAUCCCUAGCUGGUCUGAGAGGAUGAUCAGCCACACUGGAACUGAGACACGGUCCAGACUCCUACGGGAGGCAGCAGUGGGGAAUAUUGCACAAUGGGCGCAAGCCUGAUGCAGCCAUGCCGCGUGUGUGAAGAAGGCCUUCGGGUUGUAAAGCACUUUCAGUCGUGAGGAAGGUGGUAGUGUUAAUAGCACUAUCAUUUGACGUUAGCGACAGAAGAAGCACCGGCUAACUCCGUGCCAGCAGCCGCGGUAAUACGGAGGGUGCGAGCGUUAAUCGGAAUUACUGGGCGUAAAGCGCAUGCAGGUGGUUUGUUAAGUCAGAUGUGAAAGCCCGGGGCUCAACCUCGGAAUAGCAUUUGAAACUGGCAGACUAGAGUACUGUAGAGGGGGGUAGAAUUUCAGGUGUAGCGGUGAAAUGCGUAGAGAUCUGAAGGAAUACCGGUGGCGAAGGCGGCCCCCUGGACAGAUACUGACACUCAGAUGCGAAAGCGUGGGGAGCAAACAGGAUUAGAUACCCUGGUAGUCCACGCCGUAAACGAUGUCUACUUGGAGGUUGUGGCCUUGAGCCGUGGCUUUCGGAGCUAACGCGUUAAGUAGACCGCCUGGGGAGUACGGUCGCAAGAUUAAAACUCAAAUGAAUUGACGGGGGCCCGCACAAGCGGUGGAGCAUGUGGUUUAAUUCGAUGCAACGCGAAGAACCUUACCUACUCUUGACAUCCAGAGAACUUUCCAGAGAUGGAUUGGUGCCUUCGGGAACUCUGAAAAAAGUGCUGC
RNAcentral lists this ribosomal RNA (1001 nucleotides) under Vibrio sp. RNAcentral's name for it is "bacterial SSU rRNA". It matches the Rfam family "Bacterial small subunit ribosomal RNA", at positions 63 to 1044 of the family's 1533-position model. Lineage: Bacteria; Pseudomonadati; Pseudomonadota; Gammaproteobacteria; Vibrionales; Vibrionaceae. The record is from RNAcentral.